CCACCCCUAGUUCAGGUCAUAGUUUCUCUGCUCUCUGGUGCUCUGCAUUAAGGCUGACUAACAGUCUUCACAUUUCACAGUAUGUAGAUAUUAACACAAAUUAAUCAAGAGUAAUAAUUGUAUUUUAAUUAAAUAAUUUCUCUCCCCAGAAAUAAGUCUCAAAAUAAAGCCACAUUCCCAUGCUUUGAGAUUCUUACACCUCAACAAUACAUGAUUGACAAGGAAUUCUUGCGCAUAUCGACACUACCGCUCUUAUCUACAUUCCUUUCUGAGCUAGACUUGUACACUACACAUGAUGGAGAUCUUUAGAGGUAAAGGUGAAGGGCUGGAAGAAAAAUGAGACACAUCAUGGGGACCAUCUCCAAGGAUGACAAAAUACAUACAAGACGAGCAUCCAUCCUGAAGU
Pundamilia nyererei is the source of this 406-nucleotide long non-coding RNA. RefSeq lists it as uncharacterized. NCBI's taxonomy places the organism in Eukaryota, Metazoa, Chordata, Actinopteri, Cichliformes, Cichlidae. The transcript has 3 exons. The record is from RefSeq and is a predicted model, not a curated record.